UGAGUAACACGUAUCCAACCUGCCGUCUACUCUUGGCCAGCCUUCUGAAAGGAAGAUUAAUCCAGGAUGGCAUCAUGAGUUCACAUGUCCGCAUGAUUAAAGGUAUUUUCCGGUAGACGAUGGGGAUGCGUUCCAUUAGAUAGUAGGCGGGGUAACGGCCCACCUAGUCAACGAUGGAUAGGGGUUCUGAGAGGAAGGUCCCCCACAUUGGAACUGAGACACAGUCCAA
Molecule: ribosomal RNA, 229 nt
Filed under: uncultured bacterium
Lineage: Bacteria
Description: partial 16S ribosomal RNA
Rfam family: Bacterial small subunit ribosomal RNA
Source: RNAcentral